Molecule: ribosomal RNA, 265 nt
Filed under: uncultured bacterium
Lineage: Bacteria
Description: partial 16S ribosomal RNA
Source: RNAcentral
CUGCUGCCUUCCGUAGGAGUUUGGACCGUGUCUCAGUUCCAAUGUGGGGGACCUUCCUCUCAGAACCCCUAUCCAUCGAUGCCUUGGUGGGCCGUUACCCCGCCAACAAGCUAAUGGAACGCAUCCCCAUCGAUGACCGAAAUUCUUUAAUAGUUCUACCAUGCGGAAGAACUAUGCCAUCGGGUAUUAAUCUUUCUUUCGAAAGGCUAUCCCCGAGUCAUCGGCAGGUUGGAUACGUGUUACCCACCCGUGCGCCGGUCGCCAU